This 558-nucleotide ribosomal RNA is filed under the name uncultured bacterium. Its description in RNAcentral is "bacterial SSU rRNA". It matches the Rfam family "Bacterial small subunit ribosomal RNA", at positions 212 to 761 of the family's 1533-position model. The record is from RNAcentral.
UUUGCGCGAACGGAGCGGCCGAUGGCAGAUUAGGUAGUUGGUGGGAUAAAAGCUUACCAAGCCGACGAUCUGUAGCUGGUCUGAGAGGACGACCAGCCACACUGAGACUGAGACACGGUCCCAGACUCUUACGGGAGGCAGCAGUGGGGAAUUUUGGACAAUGGGCGAAAGCCUGAUCCAGCCAUGCCGCGUGCAGGAUGAAGGCUUUCGGGUUGUAAACUGCUUUUGUACGGAACGAAAAGACUAUGGUUAAUACCUGGGGUCCAUGACGGUACCGUAAGAAUAAGCACCGGCUAAUUACGUGCCAGCAGCCGCGGUAAUACGUAGGGUGCAAGCGUUAAUCGGAAUUACUGGGCGUUAAGCGUGCGCAGGCGGUUAUAUAAGACAGAUGUGAAAUCCCCGGGCUCAACCUGGGAACUGCAUUUGUGACUGUAUAGCUAGAGUACGGCAGAGGGGGAUGGAAUUCCGCGUGUAGCAGUGAAAUGCGUAGAAGUGCGGAGGAACACCGAUGGGGAAGGCAAUCCCCUGGGCCUGUACUGACGUUCAUGCACGAAAGCG